RNAcentral lists this long non-coding RNA (419 nucleotides) under Chinchilla lanigera (long-tailed chinchilla). RNAcentral's name for it is "lncRNA (ENSCLAG00000028361.1)". Lineage: Eukaryota; Metazoa; Chordata; Mammalia; Rodentia; Chinchillidae. The record is from RNAcentral.
GGUUGGCCUUGCAAACUGCUGUGCAAUUUGGUGGAGAAAGGCCACAGAGAAACAGCGCAAGCCAGGAAACUAAGUUUUCUUCCAGGCUGCUGCCCAGAGUUAUCCCUCGCUGGUCAAGAAGGUGCAAUAAAGCUCCACAGUUGGAAGAUCUAGCCUGUGUCCACAGCCAUCUCAUCAACCCCUGGUUUCUUCCCAAAAUUUUCUUCUUAUUUUAUUGAACACCUGCUUCGCAACUCUGCACAACUGUACACAACGUUCAUGCUUCUAAAGUCACUUACUAACAAAUUAUAAUCUGAAAAGUUUGAUGAUAGGUAUGGAAGACAAAUUCCCAGACUUUUUUCCAAGAAACUGCUAACAACAACAACAUGACUAUCUGGAACUAGAGAAACAUAUGCAUUCAAUUUGGAUUGUACUUAUUG